CCCCGCUCCGGCCUCGCCUUCAAGCAUGGCGUGACCGUCCUCAAUUCGCCGGGAACCGUCGACGCCGACUAUCGCGGCGAAGUUUCUGUGCUUUUGAUCAAUCACGGCGACGAGCCAUUCGCCGCGGUGAACGCAUCGCACAGCUUGUCAUCGCCGCGGUGACACAGGCAAAUCUGGUGGUCGUCGCAGCGCUGACCUCUACCGAUCGGGGCAGCGGCGGGUUUGGUUCCACCGGACGGUAAAUCGAUCC
This 250-nucleotide unclassified non-coding RNA is filed under the name Hevea brasiliensis (rubber tree). Lineage: Eukaryota; Viridiplantae; Streptophyta; Magnoliopsida; Malpighiales; Euphorbiaceae. The record is from RNAcentral.